This 498-nucleotide ribosomal RNA is filed under the name uncultured bacterium. RNAcentral describes it as "partial 16S ribosomal RNA". It matches the Rfam family "Bacterial small subunit ribosomal RNA", at positions 30 to 523 of the family's 1533-position model. The record is from RNAcentral.
AUUGAACGCUGGCGGCAUGCCUUACACAUGCAAGUCGAACGGUAACGGGCCUUCGGGUGCCGACGAGUGGCGAACGGGUGAGUAAUACAUCGGAACGUGCCCGAUCGUGGGGGAUAACGAGGCGAAAGCUUUGCUAAUACCGCAUACGAUCUACGGAUGGAAGCAGGGGACCGCAAGGCCUUGCGCGGACGGAGCGGCCGAUGGCAGAUUAGGUAGUUGGUGGGAUAAAAGCUUACCAAGCCGACGAUCUGUAGCUGGUCUGAGAGGAUGAUCAGCCACGCUGGGACUGAGACACGGCCCAUACUACUACGGGAGGCAGCAGUGGGGAAUUUUGGACAGUGGGCGCAAGCCUGAUCCAGCCAUGCCGCGUGCAGGAUGAAGGCCUUCGGGUUGUAAACUGCUUUUGUACGGAACGAAAAGCCUUCUUCUAAUACAGGAGGGUCAUGACGGUACCGUAAGAAUAAGCACCGGCUAACUACGUGCCAGCCGCCGCGGUAA